RNAcentral lists this long non-coding RNA (334 nucleotides) under Chinchilla lanigera (long-tailed chinchilla). RNAcentral describes it as "lncRNA (ENSCLAG00000024590.1)". Lineage: Eukaryota; Metazoa; Chordata; Mammalia; Rodentia; Chinchillidae. The record is from RNAcentral.
GGUGCGCGCGGUGCCCCGCGCAUUGCAGCCUCGUGCGGGGGCUCGGCUUCGCUCCCUGCAGGCCGCUGCCCGGCGGUGCUCAGGCCGCCCGUCCCGUCCCGCGGACGGCCCGACGCGGCGACAGGGCGACAGGGUGACUGGGCGGCAGGGUGACAGGGUGACGGCCCGACACCGCCAAUCAGCGCGCCCGCGGUACGCGCAGCCCGGCUCCGAUUGGCCGGCGCGCCAGCGUGUUAUUACUGUCGGUUUGAUCCGAGGCAGGGGGUGGUCUCCAAUCAAACAGAGAAAAGGUCCUGGAGAAGGAGCAUCCUUCAAGCCGGACCUGAGCUACUGA